AUUCCUGGGUUAAAAAAGAGAGACAAGGGCAGUGUGGUACGUGAAGCUGUGGAUUAUGUGAAACGACUUAAAGAACGAGUGAAAGAGCUGGAAAAUCAAAAGAGAGAGAAUACGAAUUCAAGAAGCCUCACCAAGAAACCAACAAGUGUGGAAGAAGAACUUCCAGAAAUGAAGAUUUCCGUUUCAGACAGGGAAGUGCUUAUAGGAAUUUUUUGUCACAAUCCAAACAAUACUUUAGUCAAAGUGUUGUCGUUGCUCGAUAAUCUUCAUCUUUCUACGAGAUGUUCUAGUGUGUUGCCAUUUGGAACUUCAACAUUUAAGGUCACUAUAAUUGCUAAGAUGAAUGACGAAUAUAGCAUGACCAUCGAUGACCUAAUAAAAGAAGUUGGAGGACGCUUAUUGAGUUUGA
This 409-nucleotide small RNA is filed under the name Vigna angularis var. angularis. RNAcentral's name for it is "Non-protein coding transcript". The record is from RNAcentral. Lineage: Eukaryota; Viridiplantae; Streptophyta; Magnoliopsida; Fabales; Fabaceae.